UACGUAGGGGGCGAGCGUUGUCCGGAUUUAUUGGGCGUAAAGAGCUCGUAGGCGGCUUGGCAAGUCGAGUGUGAAACCUCCAGGCUCAACCUGGAGACGCCACUCGAUACUGCCAUGGCUAGAGUCCGGUAGGGGACCACGGAAUUCCUGGUGUAGCGGUGAAAUGCGCAGAUAUCAGGAGGAACACCGGUGGCGAAGGCGGUGGUCUGGGCCGGCACUGACGCUGAGGAGCGAAAGCGUGGGGAGCAAACAGG
RNAcentral lists this ribosomal RNA (254 nucleotides) under uncultured bacterium. RNAcentral's name for it is "partial 16S ribosomal RNA". It matches the Rfam family "Bacterial small subunit ribosomal RNA", at positions 524 to 776 of the family's 1533-position model. The record is from RNAcentral.